Molecule: non-coding RNA, 1722 nt
Organism: Sesamum indicum (sesame)
Lineage: Eukaryota; Viridiplantae; Streptophyta; Magnoliopsida; Lamiales; Pedaliaceae
Source: RefSeq, a predicted model, not a curated record
UUGAGUAGUCCCAUGAUGAGUAUAUAACAGUGAAGUAGUAUCCCUAUUCAGUAUUCGUUCCUCUUCUAAAAACACUGCUCAUCGAUCCAUCACUGACUGUUUUCCAUUCAUCAUAUAUUCCAAAGUUAUCAUUAGGAUAACAAUCUGUGAAGACAUAGAGAUGAGUGAACCUCCAAAAUAUGCCUAUCCCUAUCCUGCUCAAGGUCAAUAUCAGGGGCCUCCAGUGAUGGCACCGCCACAAUAUUAUGCUGCGCCUCCGCCCCGGAGAGAACCUGGUUUUCUUGAGGGAUGUCUCGCGGCUCUAUGUUGUUGCUGGAUAAUUGAUGAGUGUUGCUGCGACCCCUCCAUCAUAUUCAUAUGCUGAUGAUGAUGAAUUUUCCCAUGAAAAAAUGUUUAUGUAUCCUUUCUUGUUUUGUGAUGUUUAAAUUUGCAUGUAAGAGCUUAUGUAGAUUUAUGUCUGAAUCAUUUCUUCAGUAGAAUUUUAUUUUCUUUUGUUUGUUGUCGCUGCUCACUAAUUAUGCAUAUUGCACAAAGCAUAAAUAUUAAUUUUUCUUGAUAGUAAUGAAUAUGUAUUGAAAGUAUAUGUGAAACAUUUAUGUCAAUAUCUCAGUGUCAUUAAGAAAACUCUCGUACAAAUCAAAGAUGACAACACUUUAUCAUUUUUCUUGGACCCAGCGGCUGACUUCCCCAUUAUGGAAGUAUUCGUUGAAUCACAACAAACUCACCCCAAGGCUAAUCCACAAAUGAGCCAACAGUGAGGAGAAGCCAACCCACAAAUGAGCUUACAGUAGGAAGAAUACAUGGAGCUUUUGGCCGUCCAAUGUUUCCCUUCUAAUUCUAACACCAAUUAUUUGGCAAGUACUUCCAAGCUCAAUUUUGGAUACGUCUUCUGGGUGUUCAAAUGGUGUAUUGAAGUGUUUCAAUUUUGUGGCAACAUUAUUAGUGUAGACGGGACUCGUUUAUACACAAAAUACAAGCCCAAAAAAUUGAUUGCAGCUGCUAUAGAUGGAAAUCAACAGGCAUGUUAUAAGAGGGCGACGUGGGAUGUGCCUUACUUCUGGCCGUCAUCCCGGUAUCAUUAAAGCAGUAUGGGAAAGUUCGGACGUUGUGCCACCUCACGUAGUACACCGGUAUUGCAUGAAGCACGUGUGUUCUAAUUUCAAAAGUCGUUACAAAAAUGUGUAUUGAAGGAUCUUUGUUGGAGAGCUUGUUCUGAAUAUCGAAUAAGAAAGUUCAAUUAAAUUAUGGAAAAGAUAAAGAAUCAAAAACUAGAUGCAUUUGAAUUCUUGGACCAAAUUAACAAGGAAAAAUGGACAGCUUCUCAUGAUGGUGGAUAACGAUGCGGUAUUUUGACAACCAAUAUGUCAGAAUGCAUCAGUGGAGUUUUGGAAGGGGCUCGCCACCUGCCAGUAACUGCAAUAUUCAAAAUAAUGCUUUAACAUACUGUCUAUUAUUUUUGUGCAAGGGAGGCGAAGAAUCGUGUAACGUUGAGCAACAACCAACUAUGGAUGAAUUUUGCAUACAAGAUGUUUACGCGUUGGCAAGAAAAACUUGUUGAGCAUACGGUCACAAAAUACCAUUACUUUCAACAGUUCACCUCGAUCGUUACAAAAUGUCAGUAUGGACAUGGACUCAAUACUCAUGUUGUCAAAAUUGCCAACCAAAAAUAUUCAUGCGGCAAGUGGAUUCAAUUCGACAUCCCCUACUCUCAAGCUCAAAAAG